CAGGGUGGCGGCGUCCUCCCUAACGGAAGCAGAGCUCCGUCCGUUCUCGCAGUAAUGUGUCAUUACGUCCCACGUGAACCGGAGUCUGAUCUGAGGCCAGUCAGAGACGCGAGUCGCUUCGUCUUCAGCUGCAUAUAAACUGCUGCUGCUGCCGACAGACGACGAUCUGAGCGGCUGGAUCAACUCCAACAUCAGUUUCCCAGAGACUAUGGGUUGAGGAGGAAGUGGAAGUUUGUCGGCUUAGACCUGGUGUCAUUCCAUCAGUGUUAAACUUCCCGGCUCAUCUUGGAAGAGUACGUGCCAGAAAGACCACGACCAAGCAGCCUUGAGAUCUUAGGCAGCGUCUCCCUGAGGUCCCUCUCUAUCUCCCCACACAUCCACCAACCACUGGAACACAUCUCCAAAGUUCUGCUGGACCAGCUCAGCUUCCCCUCAGAAGAAGUGCUGCCACCUGCCAGAUGAAGGAGCCUUUUGAGAGGCAGCUGGCAUCGUGAUUGGACUGUACUUUGGUCUGUUCCAAUCCAGCUUCAGCUCCAGAGACGGCAGGCGGGACGAGUCAACGGAGGCCUGGUGGACGAAGUCAUGCAGCUGAGUACAAUCCAGAAAACAACAGAGGAGGAGGAAACAAACAUAGUAGUAUAGUAGAAAAUAUACAUCGUAGAUUGUACAAAUAACAAGUCAAAGGACAGAGACAUACAUUGUAGAAUUGUAGUAAUUGUGGCCUGACUGAUUUACUGAUUAUCAGUAUUUUAUUUUUU
Long non-coding RNA from Amphiprion ocellaris (clown anemonefish), 758 nucleotides. The record is from Ensembl. NCBI's taxonomy places the organism in Eukaryota, Metazoa, Chordata, Actinopteri, Pomacentridae.